AUGGAUUCUCCCACUUAUAUAUGUUUAAGUCUCCAUAUUUCUAUCCAAUGUAGGACUAUUUCCCCACUUACUCACAUUUGCUAUAUUAUUCCAACACUCCCCUUCAAGUGUGAGUCCACAAUGCUCCAUUUCUAUAACUUGGCUCCGAUACCAUGGCGUUUAUGUUCAGUAGACUUCGGAAGGUAA
Molecule: non-coding RNA, 186 nt
Organism: Vicia faba (fava bean)
Lineage: Eukaryota; Viridiplantae; Streptophyta; Magnoliopsida; Fabales; Fabaceae
Source: the annotation of a GenBank genome assembly